UACGUAGGGGGCAAGCGUUGUCCGGAUUUAUUGGGCGUAAAGAGCGUGUAGGCGGCCAGAUAGGUCGGUUGUGAAAACUGGAGGCUCAACCUCCAGACGUCGAUCGAAACCAUCUGGCUAGAGUCCGGAAGAGGAGAAUGGAAUUCCUGGUGUAGCGGUGAAAUGCGCAGAUAUCAGGAAGAACACCGGUGGCGAAGGCGGUGAGCUGGGCAGUUGCUGACACUGAGGCGCGACAGCGUGGGGAGCAAACAGG
This 253-nucleotide ribosomal RNA is filed under the name uncultured bacterium. RNAcentral's name for it is "partial 16S ribosomal RNA". It matches the Rfam family "Bacterial small subunit ribosomal RNA", at positions 524 to 776 of the family's 1533-position model. The record is from RNAcentral.